Molecule: long non-coding RNA, 231 nt
Organism: Rhea pennata
Lineage: Eukaryota; Metazoa; Chordata; Aves; Rheiformes; Rheidae
Exons: 3
Source: RefSeq, a predicted model, not a curated record
ACAGCAGGACCACUCUCUUCUGCAGACCCUAAGAGGGGCCUGUUCUGCACAGGGAUUUUUCUCCCCUUUUGGAGCUGCAAAAUGGAUAGGAGGAAAUUAUUUCAGAAUGAUGCCUGGAUACCUGUGAUGAUGCAACAGAAGAGAAGGCCCUGAGGUAGAGACAAGAAUUAACACUAGCUAAGAGAGCAAGGCUACCUCUUUUGGUGACGUUGCUUAUUUACAUUGUUUUAA